RNAcentral lists this ribosomal RNA (278 nucleotides) under uncultured bacterium. RNAcentral's name for it is "partial 16S ribosomal RNA". It matches the Rfam family "Bacterial small subunit ribosomal RNA", at positions 29 to 334 of the family's 1533-position model. The record is from RNAcentral.
AACGAACGCUGGCGGCAGGCUUAACACAUGCAAGUCGAACGCACUCUUCGGAGUGAGUGGCAGACGGGUGAGUAACGCGUGGGAAUCUACCUAGCUCUACGGAACAGCUCCGGGAAACUGGAAUUAAUACCGUAUACGCCCUUAGGGGGAAAGAUUUAUCGGAGUUAGAUGAGCCCGCGUUGGAUUAGCUAGUUGGUGGGGUAAAGGCCUACCAAGGCGACGAUCCAUAGCUGGUCUGAGAGGAUGAUCAGCCACAUUGGGACUGAGACACGGCCCAA